This 63-nucleotide transfer RNA is filed under the name Stegodyphus mimosarum. It matches the Rfam family "tRNA". From Rfam's summary of the family: Transfer RNA (tRNA) molecules are approximately 80 nucleotides in length. Their secondary structure includes four short double-helical elements and three loops (D, anti-codon, and T loops). Lineage: Eukaryota; Metazoa; Arthropoda; Arachnida; Araneae; Eresidae. The record is from Rfam by way of RNAcentral.
GCCUUCGUGGUGCACACUCGACUCAUGACCGAGAGAUACGUGGUUCGAUUCCCGGCGAAGGCG